AAAUUUCAAAUGUGCUCAAAUUAUUUUGAUAAGUGGGUCGCAUUAGUCAUGUUUCCAUUGCACACAUUUUCAAAUCACAUACAUAAUUACUAUUUCAUAUGAAACAAAAAUUGUAAUUCUAAAACAUACAUGAAAUUCACAAACAGAGAGAAGAUACAUUAAAUCACAUACAUAAUUACUAUUUCAUUCACAAACAAAGAGAAGAUACAUUAAAUUCCCAGAUAACCCAGCUAUUUUUACAGAACUUGCUAUAUAAGAAUGUCUUGGAGCUUCUUUCAACAUCUUUUGUCUUGAAUUUACUCAAAAUAUCUGCCAACAAGAAAACAGAAAACAACAGGUGAGCUAUUUAGUAGUAAGAUCACGUCUGGAAAGAAACAUGCAUGAAAAUUAAGAAGAGCUAGAAUAUGGAUGCCCAAAUAGUUUUCGUGCACGUCAUGCCAAGUUAGGCACCACGUAGAAUGCAUAUGGGCCAUAAAAAUGAUCAAAUGAGUAAGGGAUGAAGCCAAACAAUGGUUCCUCCUUGCAAUGAUCACAUUUAGAUAGCAGCGACCUACUAAAGUUCAUGUUACAACAACACUAGUUCAUGUGAGAAACACACAGGGUCCAAAGUACAAACCGAAAACAAUCUGACUUGGGUAAACCAGGACAUGAUGAAACAAAAUUAUUCAUUUUGGGUUAAAAGAGGAAUAUGAUGUCCACCUUAUACUACUACAUCAUCAUCAGGAUUAAAACAACACAUUUAUAGUCACAGUGUUGGAUGAGAAAAAUAUCAAUUGAAAAAAAGACAAGGUAGAAUCAAAUCAGGUUAUAGUUUGUGGGAAUCAAUGCACACAGCAUGAACGACAAGGUAGCAUCAAAUCAGAUGAUGAUUGCAUACAUACAAAUCAUGUGCUGGCAGAAAAAAAUCCGAGCAGGAGCUCAUCUUCCCUCUCUGUUUGGUAACUAACAACCUAAAUAAAAUAAAAUAAAAACAUGACUUGUUCAUACAGAUCCCUCUAAAAUUCCUUGGGACAAGUGCAUCACAUAUUCGUCAACUUAGCUGCAAAAGUAGUGAGCACGGGAAGAGGGGAGGGAGAUGGAGGAGCUACCUGCCGCGGUCGUAAUGGAAGCAGAGGAGCCGACCCCUCCUGCCCCUCCCCCACGAGCAGGACAGGGCUGCCGGCUGGGCACGCCCCUACUCCUCCGCCUCCUUGAUCAGAGACCCCCUUCCCCUACUGUUGCUUGGCGCGCCGCAUCACUAGUCACCUCCUCAUGCAAGAAGUACACAAUAAAUAGACAGACGGUCAGUGAGGUACAUUUUCACAGCAACAUAAGCUUAAAAUUAACACAAAUACACACAUCAAAUGAAGUCACUAAGAUACUUAAGUCCACCACAUGGUGUAGAAUUAUGUGGUAUAUAAUUGCAACACAUGAAUUAAAUGAGGAAUAACAUCAUCACCAAGAGUUUCUGAUGAUAAGCAUAGCUCCCUACAAAAAAGAACUAAGGGCACAGUGACUAAAGCAUGCAGAACACAAUAUUGAAAGCAGAAGCAAGCAGGCAGUAUGAGCUACCUACUGGCAAAGUAUAAAACCUGAAUCAUAUAGUACAAAUGAAUCAAGAAAACAAGAACUAACAAUGAGAACUGCAUACUAAUGCACCAGAUGAUCAACAUCAAGUGUAGUAUAUUCACAUAAGUUUGCUUAUUUGUUUUUCUGAACAUAAUAAUGUAUAGCCCCAGAUUUUCUGAACUAUAAAAAUGAUGUAGCAAAAUCAGGGGUUGUAGUAAAUACAGUACGAAUUAUGAAUACGGUUCAGUUUCAAUAUAUACCAUAUUAUUUUGGUAUAACUUCAGUAAAUACCAUAUAAACAAUAGUUGACGCGAAUAACAGGGGCUUCACAUAAAAAAACAUAUAUACAUGAUAAAUUGAGUAGGUAAAAAAUUGUCUUUAACCUAAAAACUAACACCACCAACGC
RNAcentral lists this long non-coding RNA (1954 nucleotides) under Triticum aestivum (bread wheat). RNAcentral's name for it is "long non-coding RNA (TAES_LNC015177)". Lineage: Eukaryota; Viridiplantae; Streptophyta; Magnoliopsida; Poales; Poaceae. The record is from RNAcentral.